CGGCAGUGUACUGCUGCUGGCUGUGCUAUUUGACUGACAGCUGUCAGCUGCACUCCU
Astatotilapia calliptera (eastern happy) is the source of this 57-nucleotide microRNA precursor. The record is from Ensembl. NCBI's taxonomy places the organism in Eukaryota, Metazoa, Chordata, Actinopteri, Cichliformes, Cichlidae.